RNAcentral lists this ribosomal RNA (1522 nucleotides) under metagenome. Its description in RNAcentral is "bacterial SSU rRNA". It matches the Rfam family "Bacterial small subunit ribosomal RNA". The record is from RNAcentral.
AGAGUUUGAUCAUGGCUCAGAUUGAACGCUGGCGGCAGGCCUAACACAUGCAAGUCGAACGGUAACAGGAAGAAGCUUGCUUCUUUGCUGACGAGUGGCGGACGGGUGAGUAAUGUCUGGGAAACUGCCUGAUGGAGGGGGAUAACUACUGGAAACGGUAGCUAAUACCGCAUAACGUCGCAAGACCAAAGAGGGGGACCUUCGGGCCUCUUGCCAUCGGAUGUGCCCAGAUGGGAUUAGCUAGUAGGUGGGGUAACGGCUCACCUAGGCGACGAUCCCUAGCUGGUCUGAGAGGAUGACCAGCCACACUGGAACUGAGACACGGUCCAGACUCCUACGGGAGGCAGCAGUGGGGAAUAUUGCACAAUGGGCGCAAGCCUGAUGCAGCCAUGCCGCGUGUAUGAAGAAGGCCUUCGGGUUGUAAAGUACUUUCAGCGGGGAGGAAGGGAGUAAAGUUAAUACCUUUGCUCAUUGACGUUACCCGCAGAAGAAGCACCGGCUAACUCCGUGCCAGCAGCCGCGGUAAUACGGAGGGUGCAAGCGUUAAUCGGAAUUACUGGGCGUAAAGCGCACGCAGGCGGUUUGUUAAGUCAGAUGUGAAAUCCCCGGGCUCAACCUGGGAACUGCAUCUGAUACUGGCAAGCUUGAGUCUCGUAGAGGGGGGUAGAAUUCCAGGUGUAGCGGUGAAAUGCGUAGAGAUCUGGAGGAAUACCGGUGGUGAAGGCGGCCCCCUGGACGAAGACUGACGCUCAGGUGCGAAAGCGUGGGGAGCAAACUGGAUUAGAUACCCUGGUAGUCCACGCCGUAAACGAUGUCGACUUGGAGGUUGUGCCCUUGAGGCGUGGCUUCCGGAGCUAACGCGUUAAGUCGACCGCCUGGGGAGUACGGCCGCAAGGUUAAAACUCAAAUGAAUUGACGGGGGCCCGCACAAGCGGUGGAGCAUGUGGUUUAAUUCGAUGCAACGCGAAGAACCUUACCUGGUCUUGACAUCCACAGAACUUUCCAGAGAUGGAUUGGUGCCUUCGGGAACUGUGAGACAGGUGCUGCAUGGCUGUCGUCAGCUCGUGUUGUGAAAUGUUGGGUUAAGUCCCGCAACGAGCGCAACCCUUAUCUUUUGUUGCCAGCGGUCCGGCCGGGAACUCAAAGGAGACUGCCAGUGAUAAACUGGAGGAAGGUGGGGAUGACGUCAAGUCAUCAUGGCCCUUACGACCAGGGCUACACACGUGCUACAAUGGCGCAUACAAAGAGAAGCGACCUCGCGAGAGCAAGCGGACCUCAUAAAGUGCGUCGUAGUCCGGAUUGGAGUCUGCAACUCGACUCCAUGAAGUCGGAAUCGCUAGUAAUCGUGGAUCAGAAUGCCACGGUGAAUACGUUCCCGGGCCUUGUACACACCGCCCGUCACACCAUGGGAGUGGGUUGCAAAAGAAGUAGGUAGCUUAACCUUCGGGAGGGCGCUUACCACUUUGUGAUUCAUGACUGGGGUGAAGUCGUAACAAGGUAACCGUAGGGGAACCUGCGGUUG